Molecule: ribosomal RNA, 531 nt
Filed under: Austinograea alayseae
Lineage: Eukaryota; Metazoa; Arthropoda; Malacostraca; Decapoda; Bythograeidae
Description: partial 16S ribosomal RNA
Rfam family: Archaeal large subunit ribosomal RNA
Source: RNAcentral
GUCCGUUUGGAGUUAUAGAAGGUCUAACCUGCUCACUGAUAAGUAAUGUUGUUUAAGAGCCGCGGUAUAUUGACCGUGCAAAGGUAGCAUAAUAAUUAGUUUUUUAAUUGGAAACUUGUAUGAAUGGUUGGACAAGGGUGUAUCUGUCUCUGUAGCGUAAAUAGAAGUUAACUUUUAAGUGAAAAGGCUUAAAUGGACCAGGGGGACGAUAAGACCCUAUAAAGCUUUAUAUGUUGAUUAGGUUUGGUUAAAGUUAAAGAGAUUAAAAACUUAAUUUGGUUACCAUAUUUUAUUGGGGCGAUAUAGGUAUAAUUUAUAUUAACUGCUUGUUUAUAAAACAUCAAGAUGGAUGUUUAAAAGUUAAAUGAUCCUUUAUAAAGAUUAAGAGACUAAGUUACUUUAGGGAUAACAGCGUUAUUUUUUUUGAGAGUUCAUAUCGAAAAAAGAGUUUGCGACCUCGAUGUUGAAUUAAAAUGUCUAUAUAGUGCAGCCGCUAUAUAAGAAGGUCUGUUCGACCUUUAAAUUUUUACG